This 1474-nucleotide ribosomal RNA is filed under the name Lacticaseibacillus rhamnosus. RNAcentral's name for it is "bacterial SSU rRNA". It matches the Rfam family "Bacterial small subunit ribosomal RNA". Lineage: Bacteria; Bacillati; Bacillota; Bacilli; Lactobacillales; Lactobacillaceae. The record is from RNAcentral.
CCGGCGGCGUGCCUAAUACAUGCAAGUCGAACGAGUUCUGAUUAUUGAAAGGUGCUUGCAUCUUGAUUUAAUUUUGAACGAGUGGCGGACGGGUGAGUAACACGUGGGUAACCUGCCCUUAAGUGGGGGAUAACAUUUGGAAACAGAUGCUAAUACCGCAUAAAUCCAAGAACCGCAUGGUUCUUGGCUGAAAGAUGGCGUAAGCUAUCGCUUUUGGAUGGACCCGCGGCGUAUUAGCUAGUUGGUGAGGUAACGGCUCACCAAGGCAAUGAUACGUAGCCGAACUGAGAGGUUGAUCGGCCACAUUGGGACUGAGACACGGCCCAAACUCCUACGGGAGGCAGCAGUAGGGAAUCUUCCACAAUGGACGCAAGUCUGAUGGAGCAACGCCGCGUGAGUGAAGAAGGCUUUCGGGUCGUAAAACUCUGUUGUUGGAGAAGAAUGGUCGGCAGAGUAACUGUUGUCGGCGUGACGGUAUCCAACCAGAAAGCCACGGCUAACUACGUGCCAGCAGCCGCGGUAAUACGUAGGUGGCAAGCGUUAUCCGGAUUUAUUGGGCGUAAAGCGAGCGCAGGCGGUUUUUUAAGUCUGAUGUGAAAGCCCUCGGCUUAACCGAGGAAGUGCAUCGGAAACUGGGAAACUUGAGUGCAGAAGAGGACAGUGGAACUCCAUGUGUAGCGGUGAAAUGCGUAGAUAUAUGGAAGAACACCAGUGGCGAAGGCGGCUGUCUGGUCUGUAACUGACGCUGAGGCUCGAAAGCAUGGGUAGCGAACAGGAUUAGAUACCCUGGUAGUCCAUGCCGUAAACGAUGAAUGCUAGGUGUUGGAGGGUUUCCGCCCUUCAGUGCCGCAGCUAACGCAUUAAGCAUUCCGCCUGGGGAGUACGACCGCAAGGUUGAAACUCAAAGGAAUUGACGGGGGCCCGCACAAGCGGUGGAGCAUGUGGUUUAAUUCGAAGCAACGCGAAGAACCUUACCAGGUCUUGACAUCUUUUGAUCACCUGAGAGAUCAGGUUUCCCCUUCGGGGGCAAAAUGACAGGUGGUGCAUGGUUGUCGUCAGCUCGUGUCGUGAGAUGUUGGGUUAAGUCCCGCAACGAGCGCAACCCUUAUGACUAGUUGCCAGCAUUUAGUUGGGCACUCUAGUAAGACUGCCGGUGACAAACCGGAGGAAGGUGGGGAUGACGUCAAAUCAUCAUGCCCCUUAUGACCUGGGCUACACACGUGCUACAAUGGAUGGUACAACGAGUUGCGAGACCGCGAGGUCAAGCUAAUCUCUUAAAGCCAUUCUCAGUUCGGACUGUAGGCUGCAACUCGCCUACACGAAGUCGGAAUCGCUAGUAAUCGCGGAUCAGCACGCCGCGGUGAAUACGUUCCCGGGCCUUGUACACACCGCCCGUCACACCAUGAGAGUUUGUAACACCCGAAGCCGGUGGCGUAACCCUUUUAGGGAGCGAGCCGUCUAAGGGGACAAAAAU